UACGUAGGCAGCGAGCGUUGUUCGGAGUUACUGGGCGUAAAGAGUGCGUAGGCGGUUUUCUAAGUGUGGUGUGAAAUCUCCCGGCUUAACUGGGAGGGUGCGCCGAAGACUGGAAGGCUUGAGUAUGGGAGAGGUAAGCGGAAUUCCUGGUGUAGCGGUGAAAUGCGUAGAUAUCUGGAGGAACACCGGUGGCGAAGGCGGCAUCCUGGACCGACACUGACGCUGAGGAGCGAAAGCCAGGGGAGCAAACAGG
RNAcentral lists this ribosomal RNA (253 nucleotides) under uncultured bacterium. RNAcentral's name for it is "partial 16S ribosomal RNA". It matches the Rfam family "Bacterial small subunit ribosomal RNA", at positions 524 to 776 of the family's 1533-position model. The record is from RNAcentral.